RNAcentral lists this long non-coding RNA (332 nucleotides) under Anas platyrhynchos (mallard). Its description in RNAcentral is "lncRNA (ENSAPLG00020017565.1)". The record is from RNAcentral. Lineage: Eukaryota; Metazoa; Chordata; Aves; Anseriformes; Anatidae.
UAAAGAGUUCUUUGUUGUUCAAAAUGUAUAUUUCCGUAACUCUUUGCAUUUUUUUUUUUGCUGCUAGAUAUAAAAACCUCACAAUACUGAUCAUGAUUUGCAGGGAAAUUCUUUGUAAGUGCAUCCAGUGAUCAAAGCAUCUCAAUGUUCAACUUAAAAAUGCUUAAAGUAGCAAUGAAACAACUGUUCAUUGUGAAACGAACAAAUAAUUUAUGGAACUUAGAAUCCAGUGUUUGGAAUGGAUUAUGGCUAAUAGGAUUCAAGCUGUGUCUCAGUGUCCAGCUCCCAGCUGCUGGUCUUUGGAAGUGCAAGUACAGCAUCUUGAAGAUGAG